RNAcentral lists this ribosomal RNA (354 nucleotides) under uncultured bacterium. RNAcentral describes it as "bacterial SSU rRNA". It matches the Rfam family "Bacterial small subunit ribosomal RNA", at positions 8 to 350 of the family's 1533-position model. The record is from RNAcentral.
AGAGUUUGAUCAUGGCUCAGGAUGAACGCUAGCUACAGGCUUAACACAUGCAAGUCGAGGGGAAACGACAUCGAAAGCUUGCUUUUGAUGGGCGUCGACCGGCGCACGGGUGAGUAACGCGUAUCCAACCUGCCCACCACUUGGGGAUAACCUUGCGAAAGUAAGACUAAUACCCAAUGACGUCUCUAGAAGACAUCUGAAAGAGAUUAAAGAUUUAUCGGUGAUGGAUGGGAGUGCGUCUGAUUAGCUUGUUGGCGGGGUAACGGCCACCAAGGCGACGAGUCAGGUAGGGGUUCUGAGAGGAAGGUCCCCACAUUGGAACUGAGACACGGUACCAAACUCCUACGGGAGGCA